RNAcentral lists this ribosomal RNA (253 nucleotides) under uncultured bacterium. RNAcentral describes it as "partial 16S ribosomal RNA". It matches the Rfam family "Bacterial small subunit ribosomal RNA", at positions 524 to 776 of the family's 1533-position model. The record is from RNAcentral.
GACGAACCGUGCGAACGUUGUUCGGAUUCACUGGGCUUAAAGGGCGCGUAGGCGGGCGGUCAAGUCUGAGGUGAAAUCUUUCGGCUCAACCGGAAAAGUGCCUCGGAUACUGACUCCCUCGAGGGGGGUAGGGGCAUGUGGAACUUCCGGUGGAGCGGUGAAAUGCGUAGAUAUCGGAAGGAACGCCGGUGGCGAAAGCGACGUGCUGGACCCCUUCUGACGCUGAGGCGCGAAAGCCAGGGGAGCAAACGGG